UACGAAGGGGGCUAGCGUUGCUCGGAAUCACUGGGCGUAAAGGGUGCGUAGGCGGGUCUUUAAGUCAGGGGUGAAAUCCUGGAGCUCAACUCCAGAACUGCCUUUGAUACUGGAAAUCUUGAGUAUGGGAGAGGUGAGUGGAACUGCGAGUGUAGAGGUGAAAUUCGUAGAUAUUCGCAAGAACACCAGUGGCGAAGGCGGCUCACUGGCCCAUAACUGACGCUGAGGCACGAAAGCGUGGGGAGCAAACAGG
RNAcentral lists this ribosomal RNA (253 nucleotides) under uncultured bacterium. Its description in RNAcentral is "partial 16S ribosomal RNA". It matches the Rfam family "Bacterial small subunit ribosomal RNA", at positions 524 to 776 of the family's 1533-position model. The record is from RNAcentral.